UUCUUAUUGGAUGAUGACUGCCACAUGUCCUUUUAUUGGAUGUCAAUUCCAUGAAAGAUAAAAUGCAUUGUUAUUCUCAUCGACCAAUUAGAACAUGACACGUGACAGUUAUCAUCG
Molecule: microRNA precursor, 117 nt
Filed under: Glycine soja
Lineage: Eukaryota; Viridiplantae; Streptophyta; Magnoliopsida; Fabales; Fabaceae
Description: MIR1520 microRNA precursor family
Rfam family: MIR1520 microRNA precursor family
Source: Rfam by way of RNAcentral